AAGCGGUGGAGUAUGUGGUUAAUUCGAUGCAACGCGAAGAACCUACCUGGUCUUGACAUCCCGGAGACCCUUAGGAAACUAGGGGGUGCUUCCAUCUGGAAGAAUCUGGAGACAGGUGCUGCAUGGCUGUCGUCAGCUCGUGUCGUGAGAUGUUGGGUUAAGUCCCGCAACGAGCGCAACCCUUGCCUUUAGUUGCCAGCAGUUCGGCUGGGCACUCUAAAGGGACUGCCGGUGUUAAACCGGAGGAAGGUGGGGAUGACGUCAAGUCCUCAUGGCCUUUAUGACCAGGGCUACACACGUACUACAAUGGCCGAUACAAAGGGCAGCGACACUGCGAGGUGAAGCCAAUCCCGUAAAAUCGGUCUCAGUCCGGAUUGGAGUCUGCAACUCGACUCCAUGAAGUUGGAAUCGCUAGUAAUCGUGGAUCAGCAUGCCACGGUGAAUACGUUCCCGGGCCUU
RNAcentral lists this ribosomal RNA (459 nucleotides) under uncultured Desulfobulbus sp. Its description in RNAcentral is "bacterial SSU rRNA". It matches the Rfam family "Bacterial small subunit ribosomal RNA", at positions 927 to 1382 of the family's 1533-position model. The record is from RNAcentral. Lineage: Bacteria; Pseudomonadati; Thermodesulfobacteriota; Desulfobulbia; Desulfobulbales; Desulfobulbaceae.